UACGUAGGGGGCAAGCGUUGUCCGGAAUUACUGGGCGUAAAGAGCGUGUAGGCGGGAAUUUAAGUCAGAUGUGAAACCUUUGGGCUCAACCCAAAGCAUGCAUCUGAUACUGGAUUUCUUGAGGGUAUGAGAGGAAAAUGGUAUUCCUAGUGUAGCGGUGAAAUGCGUAGAUAUUAGGAGGAACACCAGUGGCGAAGGCGAUUUUCUGGCAUACAACUGACGCUGAGACGCGAAAGCGUGGGGAGCAAACAGG
Molecule: ribosomal RNA, 253 nt
Filed under: uncultured bacterium
Lineage: Bacteria
Description: partial 16S ribosomal RNA
Rfam family: Bacterial small subunit ribosomal RNA
Source: RNAcentral